This 500-nucleotide ribosomal RNA is filed under the name uncultured bacterium. RNAcentral's name for it is "partial 16S ribosomal RNA". It matches the Rfam family "Bacterial small subunit ribosomal RNA", at positions 30 to 523 of the family's 1533-position model. The record is from RNAcentral.
AUUGAACGCUGGCGGCAGGCCUAACACAUGCAAGUCGAGCGGUAGAGAGAAGCUUGCUUCUCUUGAGAGCGGCGGACGGGUGAGUAAAGCCUAGGAAUCUGCCUGGUAGUGGGGGAUAACGUCCGGAAACGGACGCUAAUACCGCAUACGUCCUACGGGAGAAAGCAGGGGAUCUUCGGGCCUUGCGCUAUCGGAUGAGCCUAGGUCGGAUUAGCUAGUUGGUGAGGUAAUGGCUCACCAAGGCGACGAUCCGUAACUGGUCUGAGAGGAUGAUCAGUCACACUGGAACUGAGACACGGUCUAGACUCCUACGGGAGGCAGCAGUGGGGAAUAUUGGACAAUGGGCGAAAGCCUGAUCCAGCCAUGCCGCGUGUGUGAAGAAGGUCUUCGGAUUGUAAAGCACUUUAAGUUGGGAGGAAGGGCAUUAACCUAAUACGUUAGUGUUUUGACGUUACCGACAGAAUAAGCACCGGCUAACUCUGUGCCAGCCGCCGCCGUAA